GGGAGUCUGAUUUUUUUUUUUUUUCUGGUCAAAGAGAUGGAAGUCUGAUUUCUGAUCCCAAACAUGCACGUUAUGUGGGGAAUAGUGCCCAUAGUUGUUAAUCUGCAUCACGUAAAUUGCAUCUCACUCUGUAAAUGAACGUCUAGUGGUUCUUUACUUCGUUUGGGCUUCAUCCGUGUUACCAUGCUAUGCCGGUGAAAGAAUGCAAGCAGUUAACCCAUCAGGCGGCCAAAUCAAUCAUGUAGGACUAACUAAAAAGGGGGAGGGGGCAAGACAUUUGCGUUAAUACUAUGUUUUACUAAUUGUAUUAAUAACCCAAAAUUGGCUGAUGCCGCCAACAUGAAAUCGCUACAUCUAAUAUUGGCACACUAAUUCCUGAGUUUGAAUUUGUAUUGAGUUAGAAAAAAAAAAACACAUAUUUUAGCUCAGCAAUAAGCUUCCGCCAUGACUAAUAGCACAAGUGAUGUCCAACCAGUAAACAGGCGUGCACCCUUUCCUUUGCCCUUCUUCUGAUCAUACUGUUCCCACAAAAACCCAGUUUGGUGAUAAUUCUGAACCACAUUUCUAAUCAAAUUGCUCCUCAAGUCCUCAUAGAUCGCCUUGGCCCUAUCUUUGUACGGUCCAUCUUCUGCAAAAGUUCAACAAGUUAAAAGAUAAAAGAUAAAAACUAGGCCUGAGCUUUCAGGAAUCAAAGUAAUUCCUUCACUCUCUACUGUGGGUGUUUGAGGUGGAGGAAUGGUGAUGAGUAUUGGUUGAUACCUUUGGAGUAGUGGUAGAGUGCAGAAAGAAUCCUGUAAUUAAAGUUCAUCCAAAUUGGGCCCCUCCAAUAAGGUGGGUCAUGCUCUGUGUUGCGUUUCAUGUACAGAGAACUAAGGAGAAGACGCAUUUAGAAAAAUAACCUCUCAAACAAAUAUGCAGAACUCAAGUAAAAGACCAUAAGGCAAGCUAAAAACCUUGUUUUAGCUAGAGAACGUAACCCAUAGUCAGUCCAUAAGAUGCUCCUGUUUAAAAUGAGGUCAAGCUGUUUUUCCAGAAUCCAUGAAUCCUACAUUGAAGUGUUAUAAGAGAGAAAUCUAGAAUAAGCUCAUUAAAAACCGGCAAGUGAUGUCAUUAUGUGUCCAUCGUACAAAAAUAGUAAGAUAAGCAUCAGGGAACUGAUGUCCAUUUUAUAAAUGUUCCAUGCAACUCACAGAUGGAAUGAUCUUCUCCAUGAAUGGAAAAAGGCUGACAUAACCAACAUGAGGAAUUAGUCUCAACUCUGGCCUUUCUAAUACUUCCCGAACAAGCUCCCGCUUUACAUAACUGUUCUCCACAAUUGUCUCUUUCCAACUUAACCGAACCUAACAUGUUCAGCAAUUAGCAUAUUUCAUAAGAAAAGAAAAAUGCUAUGCUAACUAAAUUUAUUUCAACAGGUCAGGGGAACCUUAUUGGACAACAAUAGUCUCUCUAGCUCUAUUUAUUACAAUGAAAUGACACGCUAAAAUAUUAGGACCAUAAUUUUUUACAUUCUAAAUUUUACAAUCUUCAUAACAGAUAAUGGUAGGCUUAGCAAGUUAUAGUCCAGGGGCUAGUUAUUGAAUAACACGGAUGGGACAUCUGUAUAGACCACAAAGAGGAACGAAUAAUAAGAACACAAGUACAUCAUAGACAGUAGAAUCUACAACUAACUAAUAAGCUGUCAGAACAAUAUAACAAGAUCUUUCCAGUGUAUCUGUAACCAAAGGUACUGAAAUCUGAGGAAAAACAGUAAGAAAACAGCAAAGUACCUUAUCUGUAUGAUUUCCAAAAUCAAAAUAUGCUCCAUAAGCAGGAUCAAGGUGCAUCUGAUUGAGCAUUUCAAAAUCUGAAAGUAGCUUAGCUGUUGAACCAUAAUCCUUCCCAGACCCGUAUUCUUUCUUUAACAGCUGUGUGAUAGAAUUCAUGCAAUUUGCAGCAAGAAGCAUCCAGCACCUAAGAUCCAAGUGACGUUCUUCUUCACUUGGAUGUGAAGCACGAGGAUAAUCAUCCAGUCCAGAGGAAAGUGUCUUUGGGUUUAGCUCCCGAGUAGUUGAGUUGUCCCUCCCAUGCCAAAAAUAGCUGCCAAUCUCCUUCCCUGACUGUGUAGUAUUGAACCACUGGAACCAAGCUUCAAGGCGAACAAAAGCCCGCUCCAGGAAAGAGAUGAUCUCAUUGCUUUCAGCAGAUGUAAACUUAUUUUUCUCUAUGCCAUGAAGUAGAUCACUUAUAACCAAAAAUAGUGUUGGAGGAUUUCCAUUAGUUGGAUGCUGACGAACAAAUUCCUCUGGAACCUUACUUAGAGAUUCAGAUCCCAGUAUUUGUUCCCGAGGAAUCCAUCCAUCAAUGUUCAUUAAAUCUAACCAGUGGCCAACUAUAUCCAAGCAUAUGCUGAUAUCCCAACGCCAGAUCAACAGUUGAUGAAAACCUUCAUCCCAUAGAAAUCCCCUUGGAAAGAAGGGUCGACUUGGAACUGCUGUGUAAAGCUCAGCUGGCCAAUAUGCGAGAAAAUUAUCAUGAUCUUUAUGAUUAGAAUUUCUACCAUAUGCAAUUUUUGAUUGACCAUAAAAGUAGCCAAUACCUCCCAACAUAUUGGCAACAGCAACCUUACCAACAACUCUGGAUUCAGAUUCAAGCUUGCUAGCAAUAUUAAAGCACUGCUCAAACUUGGCAUCAAAUUCUGAUUGCUUUUCUUGUAAUUGAUUUGUCAGUAAGGUGCCUGUCAGGCUGUUUACACGUGCUUUUACUCUUGAAUCUUUUACUCCAGUUCCAGACACAAAAGCAAUAUCUGUUUUGAAUGGAAUCCUAGCAGAAAUCUGAAAAACUAAGAUAUUUGAAGAAUCUUCAGAUGAGUCAGCUAGCUGCAGUAGGCCAAACUUUCUCAGUUGGGUCCCAAGAUUUUGCUGGAUGAGAUCAGACAAAUUGUGGAUAUGAGGUGUCCUGAAGCCAGAAUAGUGGAUCUCCAAAACAUCCUUAGAUUCUAAAUGCAGCUGCCAAUCUCCAAUGUCUGAACGUGAACCUGAUGCCAGAAGAGAAUUCUCAUGCAUGUCUAUUUUAUCUUUUGUCAAACUUAGAGGACUUCCGUCUUCAUUAGUCAAAUAGAAAAACAAAUGCCCAUUUUGCUGCAUUUCUUUGUUCCAGUCAGAUUUCUCACUUUGGGCAUCAAUGCGAACUGCCCAAUCUCCUCCAUAGCCACUGCCUUCACUUCUGGAUUUCAAAAAACUGGUUUCCAACUUCAAGCCGUGAUCAACUAGUAUUUGGUGCCCAAAAUCACGACCAUUAUGUUGUGUCCAGCCAUAAGUGCUUAGCUCAUCAGAGUCUUGGCAAAAAUGUCUUAUAAAAUACCUUCCAUCCUUUAAGCCUAUCCACAUUAAACCAGCGACCAAAGACUGAGGAGUCCUAGCGCGAAUUCCGAGAUAAACAUGAGGACGAUAUGUUCCCCAGUACAAGCUCUCUUUGUGCUCAUCUUGGAACUGAGGAAGGUCCAUGAGCUUCAGAGCAGGAAAGGGAGUGACAACCCUAGGCCUCUGAGCUGGCUCAAUAGGCUUCAUGAGAUUGUGAAUCAAGAAGAAGAUAACUAAGAACGAGAACACGCCAAUUCCUAGCAUGAUUUUGAGAUUAACACUUAGGAUUCGAAUCAAACUGUGAUCCUUACUUCUAUCUCUCCGUAGUUUGAAGUUAGGUUUCGUACUACGGAGAGCACCAUCGUUGCCGCUGUCCGUGGUGGACUUGAUUCUGCUCCGAGCACUGCUCCUGCCACUUCCAGCCAUUUGAGGCUGAGCGAGUACCAAAUUUAGCUGUUUAUAUCUAGUGCAUUUGAUCGGCGAAGCAACAUGGAUGAGUAAUGGAAUGGAGGUUUUGAUAAGAAGAGGAAUUGGUGAAGCUGGCGCUUUC
RNAcentral lists this unclassified non-coding RNA (3888 nucleotides) under Hevea brasiliensis (rubber tree). The record is from RNAcentral. Lineage: Eukaryota; Viridiplantae; Streptophyta; Magnoliopsida; Malpighiales; Euphorbiaceae.